This 281-nucleotide ribosomal RNA is filed under the name uncultured bacterium. RNAcentral describes it as "partial 16S ribosomal RNA". It matches the Rfam family "Bacterial small subunit ribosomal RNA", at positions 29 to 301 of the family's 1533-position model. The record is from RNAcentral.
AACGAACGCUGGCGGCGCGCCUAAUACAUGCAAGUCGAGCGAGAAGACGUAGCAAUACGUUUGUAAAGCGGCGAACGGGUGAGGAAUACAUGGGUAACCUACCCUCGAGUGGGGAAUAACUAGCCGAAAGGUUAGCUAAUACCGCGUACGCUCCUUGGACUUCGGUUCAGGGAGGAAAGCGAUACCGUGGGUAUCGCGCUCUUGGAUGGGCUCAUGUCCUAUCAGCUUGUUGGUGAGGAACGGCUCACCAAGGCUUCGACGGGUAGCUGGUCUGAGAGGAC